UACGAAGGGGGCUAGCGUUGUUCGGAAUUACUGGGCGUAAAGAGUAUGUAGGCGGAUAUCUAAGCUAGAGGUGAAAGCCCAAGGCUUAACCUUGGAACUGCCUUUAGAACUGGAUAUCUGGAGUUUUGGAGGGGAGUGCGGAAUUUCUAAUGUAGAGGUGAAAUUCGUAGAUAUUAGAAGGAACACCGGCGGCGAAGGCGGCACUCUGGACAAAUACUGACGCUGAGAUACGAAAGCGUGGGGAGCAAACAGG
This 253-nucleotide ribosomal RNA is filed under the name uncultured bacterium. RNAcentral describes it as "partial 16S ribosomal RNA". It matches the Rfam family "Bacterial small subunit ribosomal RNA", at positions 524 to 776 of the family's 1533-position model. The record is from RNAcentral.